UUUUUUUUUUUUUUUUUUU
RNAcentral lists this unclassified non-coding RNA (19 nucleotides) under Neurospora crassa. The record is from RNAcentral. RNAcentral also lists the same sequence under 1 other name. Lineage: Eukaryota; Fungi; Ascomycota; Sordariomycetes; Sordariales; Sordariaceae.